ACUAUAGCUCAGUUGGUAGAGCAGCGGUUUUGUAAACCGCCGGUCGUUGGUUCGAGUCCGACUAGUG
Molecule: transfer RNA, 67 nt
Filed under: human gut metagenome
Rfam family: tRNA
About the family: Transfer RNA (tRNA) molecules are approximately 80 nucleotides in length. Their secondary structure includes four short double-helical elements and three loops (D, anti-codon, and T loops).
Source: RNAcentral